AUGAAUGAUUAUGAUCGAGCUAAAGAUUGGGUCAGACGCAAUGUCACCCGCUACAAUUUCAAAGGAGGUGUCAAUAUCAAGUAUGAUUCAUUACACCUUUCUUUUUUGUUCUUGGUUAAUUUGAUGUGUUUUAUGAUCUAUACUGACGAUCUGCACCACAUUGAGCAUUUGUUGAAGGAGUGGCUGGCUCCUCUUGUGCUCUUCCUGCUUAUUAGUGUUGCUUGUAAAGCAAAUGUGGGAUAUGAUUCCCUUUGACACCUUUCUUUUUUGUUCUUGAUUUGUUUUAUGAUCUAUACUGAUGAUCUGCACCACAUUGAGCAUUUGUUGAAGGAGUGGCUGGCUUCUCUUGUGCUCUUCCUGCUUAUUAGUGUUGCUUGUAAAACAAAUGUGGGAUAUGAUUCCCUUUGCUCUAAAUUGCUUCAAAUGCUUUGUUGUUAGUUAGGAAUAUGUAUUAAAGGAAAUGGCUUUGCAAAUACACUUAGGCAGUAAAGUGAAAAAUGGAUAAAAAAUAUAUUUCCCCUUACAAAGUCGGGUGAGCCUUGAUGCAACAGUAGAGUUGCUCUUUUCUUGGCUCAUAGGUCUGGGGUUUGAGUGCGUCGGAACAAUCUCUUUGUUCUCUCCAUAGGAGGGCGACCCCUGAUGCAACAGUAGAUUUGCUACUUUUGUGGCUCAUAGGUCAGGGGUUCGGGGCACGGAAACAACCUCUUUGUAGAAAUGCAAGAGGAAGGUGGCAUAUGAUGUACGUCCACCUUUCCCCUAUGCUCGCACUAGCCACAAAGCAUUUAUUUCACGAGUUAAGUCCUUUUGACUUUGGAGUGCAUAUUCU
RNAcentral lists this long non-coding RNA (826 nucleotides) under Nicotiana benthamiana. RNAcentral's name for it is "long non-coding RNA (NBEN_LNC012224)". The record is from RNAcentral. Lineage: Eukaryota; Viridiplantae; Streptophyta; Magnoliopsida; Solanales; Solanaceae.